UUUCUUCAUGUAUUACAGACUGCUAGCAUAGUUAGCAUGCGCUAGCUAAAACACUCAAGUAGCGAACGUCAAGUGCACAUUGUCGGUCCUUGAAAACUGAAAAAAUACAGUCUGAAUCGGACCAAAGACGACUUUCACCCCGAGCAAUGGUGUCUAUGAUGUCUAGACGAAGAGACUGAUGAAACUGAAAGAAGAUAAAGAGGACUUUCACACCAAAGUCAUAAAGAUGUUUGUCCAGAAGGAUACAAUGGACUUAACGUAAAGUAAAGGCAUCAUCUUCCCAUCUGAAGCCCCAUCCGAGGCCGCGUGUCUCACCUGCGGUGCACCUGUCCGCGCGCCCCCGUUAAGCGGCUGAGGGCCGCCCCUUCCUGCCGCGCUGGUCUCCGCCGCUGACCUUCAGGCUGACAGGAAGGAUGACAGGGACAGGGGUGUUUUUUUUGGGGGGGGGUGGCCCUGACCGGCCCCUGACCGGCUCGUAACGGCGGGUGCCACUCGCUGCCACCGGAGCCAAUCAGGGUCAAUCUGUGGCGUGCAGCUGCACACCACAGAGCGGAAACUGCCGGCUCUAAUCUUUUAAUACCUCGGCUGCACCUGCGAAGGUGACCCGGCGGCGCCGCGAGACGCUUACUCUGCGCUCGCCCUCGCGUGGGAAGUGAAAGCGUGCAUCCACGGCAACAGCAAGCGCUGUGGCGGCAGCUGUGUGUGCACAUCGAAGAAAGGCUUUCUCCCCAAAAUCGUGACAAUACUACGUUUUAUUUUGGCCCAUUCAUUUACAUCGCCUUGCAACUACGUCACUAGAAACUAAUAAACGGAUUAUGAAAAUAUAACGCAUACUUUUGGCUAGAAAUGCAUACAAAUGCUGAUGCUUUCUUGAAAUAUUGAGUUUUUCACAGAUAAUAGACCGUCAGUUUGCCAUUUUCUUUUUUUUAGCUGAGGGGAAGUUGAUAGUCACGUUGUAUUGUCACGCUUUCUCCCCAAAAGGAUCUCAAGUUACAAGAGGGACCUUUUCAGAGGAAUAAAUCGGCCUGGCGACUCAUCGUCGACGUCGGCAUUUUGAUGAAAGUCGCUGUGCCUCAUGUAUUUAGGGGCUUCUGUCACAGAUC
Molecule: long non-coding RNA, 1103 nt
Organism: Gasterosteus aculeatus aculeatus (three-spined stickleback)
Lineage: Eukaryota; Metazoa; Chordata; Actinopteri; Perciformes; Gasterosteidae
Source: Ensembl